GACGAACGCUGGCGGCGUGCUUAACACAUGCAAGUCGAACGAAGUGGCGAACGGGUGAGUAACGCGUAAUCAACCUGCCCUUCAGAGGGGGACAACAGUUGGAAACGACUGCUAAUACCGCAUACUGAAGGAGGGGUUUGCGUCUGAUUAGCUAGUUGGAGGGGUAACGGCCCACCAAGGCGAUGAUAAGUAGCCGGGCUGAGAGGAUGAACGGGCACAUGGGGAAGGAGAAACGGCCCAGAAUUCUACGGGAGGCAGCAGUGGGGAAUCUUCCGAAAUGGACGAAAGUCUGACGGAGCAACGCCGCGUGAGGGAUGAAGGCCUUCGGGGUGGAAAGCUCUGUUAAGCGGGAAGCGGUACCGGAAUAGAAAGCAACGGCUAACUACGUGCCAGCAGCCGCGGUAAUAC
RNAcentral lists this ribosomal RNA (408 nucleotides) under uncultured bacterium. RNAcentral's name for it is "partial 16S ribosomal RNA". It matches the Rfam family "Bacterial small subunit ribosomal RNA", at positions 28 to 526 of the family's 1533-position model. The record is from RNAcentral.